AAACUUUUAUCAACGGAUCUCUUGGCUCUCGCAUCGAUGAAGAACGCAGCGAAAUGCGAUAAGUAAUGUGAAUUGCAGAAUUCAGUGAAUCAUCGAAUCUUUGAACGCACCUUGCGCCCUUUGGUAUUCCGAAGGGCAUGCCUGUUUGAGUGUCAU
This 156-nucleotide ribosomal RNA is filed under the name Vishniacozyma victoriae. RNAcentral describes it as "5.8S ribosomal RNA". It matches the Rfam family "5.8S ribosomal RNA". Rfam says of the family: 5.8S ribosomal RNA (5.8S rRNA) is a component of the large subunit of the eukaryotic ribosome. It is transcribed by RNA polymerase I as part of the 45S precursor that also contains 18S and 28S rRNA. Lineage: Eukaryota; Fungi; Basidiomycota; Tremellomycetes; Tremellales; Bulleribasidiaceae. The record is from RNAcentral.